This is a long non-coding RNA of Phacochoerus africanus (Common warthog), 862 nucleotides long. RefSeq lists it as uncharacterized. The record is from RefSeq and is a predicted model, not a curated record. NCBI's taxonomy places the organism in Eukaryota, Metazoa, Chordata, Mammalia, Artiodactyla, Suidae. The transcript has 6 exons.
AUCUCCAGAUGAGGAAAAUGACAAGGAGGAUAAUGAAGAGGCCAAAGAUCAAUGGGAAGGCACUAGAGGUCCCUGGUGUUAUUUCCAUAUCUGACAGAAGCACAACAGGAAAGGGAAGGAAAGACAACCAGAGACAAGGGACAAAAACCAUCAUCCUAGCUCCCCAAACUGCCCUGUUGAGAAUACGUCAGGACAUUCCAGCAAGAGGGCAAGCAUAUGUGGAUCUAACUUCUGAGAAGACAAAGAAUGCCUGUCGAUUGUAAAGUAAGAUACAAAAGCACAUGUUAUAGGCCAGAACAGAGUGGCAUGGUAUGAUAUAUUCCAAGUGCUGAAGGAAAAAGAAAAAAACUUCCAACCAAGAAUACUCUCCCCAGCUAAGUAAUCAUCCAGAGUUGAAAGAGAGAUUCCACAGAUCCUGAGCCCCUGGGCUUUCCCCUGAAUGGGACAGAAUUGAGAAACAUGCCUUAUGAGACAUUCCUGCCACCAAAAGAAAAGCUGACUGGGUUAUUGAGGCCUCUACUGAGGAAGAGGAAGAAGGAAGAAAGGCAGAGGGUUCAGGAGCCACCAAUAUUUGUACCAGGGCCGUCCCUCUCCUUACUUGGAUAUUUAUUCUUCGCACCAUGCCCAUCCUUCCACCACAGCGAUCACUGACUGCUAAGCCUCACAGAGAAUGGAAAACAUUAAGAUGAGAAUCAGCUCCUGCUGCCCCAAGUUGGCAAAGUCCAAUGGGUUUAUCAUUCUCAUCACUAUAGUGACCCAAAUGACCUCUUCUUCAUCUCCAACCUUGAAUGGGGCCCCCUUUGACCCUGAGUCCAGAGAAUUUUUUUUUUUUUUAAGGGCCACACCUGCGACAUAUGGAAGU